Molecule: ribosomal RNA, 236 nt
Filed under: uncultured bacterium
Lineage: Bacteria
Description: partial 16S ribosomal RNA
Rfam family: Bacterial small subunit ribosomal RNA
Source: RNAcentral
UGAGUAACCUGCCCUUAACUCUGGGAUAAGCCCUGGGAAACUGGGUCUAAUACCGGAUAUGACUCCUCAUCGCAUGGUGGGGGGUGGAAAGCUUUUUGUGGUUUUGGAUGGACUCGCGGCCUAUCAGCUUGUUGGUGAGGUAAUGGGCUCACCAAGGCGACGACGGGUAGCCGGCCUGAGAGGGUGACCGGGCCACACUGGGACUGAGACACGGCCCAGACUCCUACGGGAGGCAG